CCUUGACAUCCAGAGAACUUAGCAGAGAUGCUUUGGUGCCUUCGGGAACUCUGAGACAGGUGCUGCAUGGCUGUCGUCAGCUCGUGUUGUGAAAUGUUGGGUUAACGUCCGCAACGAGCGCAACCCUUAUCCUUUGUUGCCAGCGGUUCGGCCGGGAACUCAAAGGAGACUGCCGGUGAUAAACCGGAGGAAGGUGGGGAUGACGUCAAGUCAUCAUGGCCCUUACGGCCAGGGCUACACACGUGCUACAAUGGCGCAUACAAAGAGAAGCGACCUCGCGAGAGCAAGCGGACCUCAUAAAGUGCGUCGUAGUCCGGAUUGGAGUCCGCAACUCGACUCCAUGAAGUCGGAAUCGCUAGUAAUCGUAGAUCAGAAUGCUACGGUGAAUACGUUCCCGGGCCUUGUACACACCGCCCGUCACACCAUGGGAGUGGGUUGCAAAAGAAGUAGGUAGCUUAACCUUCGGGAGGGCGCUUACCACUUUGUGAUUCAUGACUGGGGUGAAGUCGUAACAAGGUAAGCGUAGCGAG
This 530-nucleotide ribosomal RNA is filed under the name uncultured bacterium. RNAcentral describes it as "bacterial SSU rRNA". It matches the Rfam family "Bacterial small subunit ribosomal RNA", at positions 979 to 1509 of the family's 1533-position model. The record is from RNAcentral.